ACGGAGGGUGCAAGCGUUAUUCGGAAUUACUGGGCGUAAAGGGCGUGCAGGCGGGAGAACAAGUCUGAUGUGAAAGCCCGGGGCUUAACCCCGGAAGGGCAAUGGAAACUGCUUUUCUUGAGUACUGGUGAGGAAGGGAGAAUUCCCGGUGUAGAGGUGAAAUUCGUAGAGAUCAGGAGGAACAGCAGUGGCGAAGGCACCCUUCUGAACAGCAACUGACGCUGAUACGCGAAAGCGUGGGGAUCAAACAG
This 251-nucleotide ribosomal RNA is filed under the name uncultured prokaryote. Its description in RNAcentral is "partial 16S rRNA". It matches the Rfam family "Bacterial small subunit ribosomal RNA", at positions 525 to 775 of the family's 1533-position model. The record is from RNAcentral.